GACGAACGCUGGCGGCGUGCUUAACACAUGCAAGUCGAGCGGUAAGGCCCUUUCGGGGUACGACGAGCGGCGAACGGGUAGGAGUAACAACGUGGGUGGACCUCGCCCUCCAGCUCUGGGAGUAAGACCCGGGAAACCGUAGGGUCGUAAUACCGGAGUAUGACUCCACUGACGCAUGUUGUGGGGUGGGAAAGACCUUG
Molecule: ribosomal RNA, 200 nt
Filed under: uncultured bacterium
Lineage: Bacteria
Description: partial 16S ribosomal RNA
Source: RNAcentral